This 1900-nucleotide long non-coding RNA is filed under the name Brassica rapa (field mustard). RNAcentral describes it as "long non-coding RNA (BRAP_LNC006756)". Lineage: Eukaryota; Viridiplantae; Streptophyta; Magnoliopsida; Brassicales; Brassicaceae. The record is from RNAcentral.
UGAACCUAGAGGUUCACCCUAGGGGGUGGACCUAAGAAUAAGUCUUUGUAAAGAGUCAUUCUUGGGUUCACCAACCAAUAAGAUUUCAUUAUUUCAAAUUUGAUAUCUUUUAAAAAAGGAAACAAAAUAUUCUCAAAUUAUAUUAUGUUUUCAAAAUAAAAAAUGUAAAAAAAGAUAAUAGUUACAGAAAAAAAAAUUAAAAAAAAAUAUAUUUUUAAUGUUCUCAACAAAACACUAAACCCUAAAUCUUAAUCCCUAAACCCUAAAUCCUAAACCCUAAACCCUUGGGUAAACCCUAAACCCUUAGGUAAACCCUAAACCCUUGGAUAAAUCCUAAACUCUAAAUAAAAAACACUAAAACUCUAAAAUCCUAAAACCCUAAACCCUAAACGCUUGAAUGUUUUAGUGUAUAGUGAUUUUGAUUUAGAGUUUAGGAUUUAUCCUAGAGUUUAGGAUUUAUCCUAGAGUUUAGGGUUUAGGAUUAAGAGUUUAGGGAUUAGAAUUUAGGGUUUAGGGUUUAAUGUUAUGCUGACGACGUAAAAUAUUUUUUUUGUAAUUAUUACUAUUUUUUUAUCUUUUAAUUUUAAAAACAUAAUAUAAUUUGACAAUAUUUUGUUUCAUUUUUUAAAAGAUAUUGAAUAUAAAAUAAAACAAUCCUAUUGGUUGGUGAACCUAGAGGUUCACCCUAGGGGGUGGACCUAAGAAUAAGUCUUUGUAAAGAGUCAUUCUUGAGUCAUUCUUGGGUUCACCCCCUAGGGUGAACCUCUAGGUUCACCAACCAAUAGGAUUUCAUUAUUUCAAAUUUGAUAUCUUUUAAAAAAGGAAACAAAAUAUUCUCAAAUUAUAUUAUGUUUUCAAAAUAAAAAAAGUAAAAAAAGAUAAUAGUUACAGAAAAAAAAAUUAAAAAAAAAUAUAUUUUUAAUGUUCUCAACAAAACACUAAACCCUAAAUCUUAAUCCCUAAACCCUAAAUCCUAAACCCUAAACCCUUGGGUAAACCCUAAACCCUUGGGUAAACCCUAAACCCUUGGAUAAAUCCUAAACUCUAAAUAAAAAACACUAAAACUCUAAAAUCCUAAAACCCUAAACCCUAUACGCUUGAAUGUUUUAGUGUAUAGUGAUUUUGAUUUAGAGUUUAGGAUUUAUCCUAGAGUUUAGGAUUUAUCCUAGAGUUUAGGGUUUAGGAUUAAGAGUUUAGGGAUUAGAAUUUAGGGUUUAGGGUUUAAUGUUAUGCUGACGACGUAAAAUAUUUUUUUUGUAAUUAUUACUAUUUUUUUAUCUUUUAAUUUUAAAAACAUAAUAUAAUUUGACAAUAUUUUGUUUCCUUUUUUAAAAGAUAUUGAAUAUAAAAUAAAACAAUCCUAUUGGUUGGUGAACCUAGAGGUUCACCCUAGGGGGUGGACCUAAGAAUAAGUCUUUGUAAAGAGUCAUUCUUGGGUUCACCAACCAAUAAGAUUUCAUUAUUUCAAAUUUGAUAUCUUUUAAAAAAGGAAACAAAAUAUUCUCAAAUUAUAUUAUGUUUUCAAAAUAAAAAAUGUAAAAAAAGAUAAUAGUUACAGAAAAAAAAAUUAAAAAAAAAUAUAUUUUUAAUGUUCUCAACAAAACACUAAACCCUAAAUCUUAAUCCCUAAACCCUAAAUCCUAAACCCUAAACCCUUGGGUAAACCCUAAACCCUUAGGUAAACCCUAAACCCUUGGAUAAAUCCUAAACUCUAAAUAAAAAACACUAAAACUCUAAAAUCCUAAAACCCUAAACCCUAAACGCUUGAAUGUUUUAGUGUAUAGUGAUUUUGAUUUAGAGUUUAGGAUUUAUCCUAGAGUUUAGGAUUUAUCCUAGAGUUUAGGGUUUAGGAUUAAGAGUUUAGGGAUUAGAAUUUAGGGUUUAGGGUUUAAUGUUAUGC